RNAcentral lists this ribosomal RNA (500 nucleotides) under uncultured Glomeromycotina. RNAcentral's name for it is "partial small subunit ribosomal RNA". It matches the Rfam family "Eukaryotic small subunit ribosomal RNA", at positions 591 to 1092 of the family's 1831-position model. Lineage: Eukaryota; Fungi; Glomeromycota. The record is from RNAcentral.
CCAAUAGCGUAUAUUAAAGUUGUUGCAGUUAAAAAGCUCGUAGUUGAAUUUCGGGGUCAGCAGGUCGGUCGUGCCACUGGUAUGUACUGGCUUUGCUGAUUCCUCCCUCUUGACGAACCGUAAUGCCAUUAAUUUGGUGUUGCGGGAAAUCAGGACUGUUACUUUGAAAAAAUUAGAGUGUUUAAAGCAGGCUUACGCUUGAAUACAUUAGCAUGGAAUAAUGAAAUAGGACGUUCGAUCCUAUUUUGUUGGUUUCUAGGAUUGACGUAAUGAUUAAUAGGGAUAGUUGGGGGCAUUAGUAUUCAAUUGUCAGAGGUGAAAUUCCUGGAUUUAUUGAAGACUAACUACUGCGAAAGCAUUUGCCAAGGAUGUUUUCAUUAAUCAAGAACGAAAGUUAGGGGAUCGAAGACGAUCAGAUACCGUCGUAGUCUUAACCAUAAACUAUGCCGACUAGGGAUCGGAUGAUGUUAAUUUUUUAAUGACUCAUUCGGCGCCUUACG